Oryza barthii is the source of this 195-nucleotide non-coding RNA. Lineage: Eukaryota; Viridiplantae; Streptophyta; Magnoliopsida; Poales; Poaceae. The record is from Rfam.
AAAAAGGCAAACCCUGGGUUUCCGUGUCCAACGUUUGACUGUCCGUCUUAUAUGAAAUUUUUUUAUAAUUAGUAUUUUUAUUAUUGUUAAAUAAUAAAACAUGAUUAAUACUUAAUGCGUGACUUGUCUUUUUAAUUUUUUCAAAUAAGAUACACGGUCAAACGUUGGACACGUAAACCCAUGGUUUGUCUUUUU